RNAcentral lists this ribosomal RNA (446 nucleotides) under uncultured bacterium. RNAcentral's name for it is "bacterial SSU rRNA". It matches the Rfam family "Bacterial small subunit ribosomal RNA", at positions 355 to 825 of the family's 1533-position model. The record is from RNAcentral.
UGGGGAAUCUUGGACAAUGGGCGCAAGCCUGAUCCAGCCAUGCCGCGUGGAUGAUGAAGGCCUUAGGGUUGUAAAAUCCUUUCGUUGGGGACGAUAAUGACGGUACCCAAAGAAGAAGCUCCGGCUAACUUCGUGCCAGCAGCCGCGGUAAUACGAAGGGGGCUAGCGUUGUUCGGAUUUACUGGGCGUAAAGCGCGUGUAGGCGGACUUGUAAGUUGGGGGUGAAAUCCCGAGGCUCAACCUCGGAACUGCCUCCAAAACUCAAAUCUGGACCUAAGUAGAGGCAAGUGGAAUUGCGAGUGUAGAGGUGAAAUUCGUAGAUAUUCGCAGGAACACCAGUGGCGAAGGCGACUUGCUGGACUUAUGGUGACGCUGAGACGCGAAAGCGUGGGGAGCAAACAGGAUUAGAUACCCCAGUAGUCCCUGAGCGGGCUGGCAAGGCGCAU